GGGAUAACAGGGUAAUAUUAGAUACCCGGGUAGUCCUAGCUGUAAACGAUGGGCACUUGGUGUUGCGGGUAUCUAAU
RNAcentral lists this ribosomal RNA (77 nucleotides) under uncultured bacterium. RNAcentral describes it as "partial 16S ribosomal RNA". The record is from RNAcentral.